UGGGGUGUAGCUCAGUGGUGGAGCACUUGGUUACCAUUCACUGGGCCCUGGGUUCAAUCCCCAGCACCCAAA
This 72-nucleotide transfer RNA is filed under the name Ictidomys tridecemlineatus (thirteen-lined ground squirrel). RNAcentral's name for it is "Spermophilus tridecemlineatus (thirteen-lined ground squirrel) tRNA". It matches the Rfam family "tRNA". From Rfam's summary of the family: Transfer RNA (tRNA) molecules are approximately 80 nucleotides in length. The record is from Rfam by way of RNAcentral. Lineage: Eukaryota; Metazoa; Chordata; Mammalia; Rodentia; Sciuridae.